GGUUAAGCGACUAAGCGUACACGGUGGAUGCCCUGGCAGUCAGAGGCGAUGAAGGGCGUGCUAAUCUGCGAUAAGCGCCGGUAAGGUGAUAUGAACCGUUAUAACCGGCGAUACCCGAAUGGGGAAACCCAGUGUGACUCGUCACACUAUCAUUAACUGAAUCCAUAGGUUAAUGAGGCGAACCGGGGGAACUGAAACAUCUAAGUACCCCGAGGAAAAGAAAUCAACCGAGAUUCCCCCAGUAGCGGCGAGCGAACGGGGAGGAGCCCAGAGCCUGAAUCAGCAUGUGUGUUAGUGGAAGCGUCUGGAAAGGCGCGCGAUACAGGGUGACAGCCCCGUACACAAAAGCGCAUGUGCUGUGAGCUCGAUGAGUAGGGCGGGACACGUGGUAUCCUGUCUGAAUAUGGGGGGACCAUCCUCCAAGGCUAAAUACUCCUGACUGACCGAUAGUGAACCAGUACCGUGAGGGAAAGGCGAAAAGAACCCCGGCGAGGGGAGUGAAAAAGAACCUGAAACCGUGUACGUACAAGCAGUGGGAGCACAGGUUUACCUGUGUGACUGCGUACCUUUUGUAUAAUGGGUC
RNAcentral lists this ribosomal RNA (583 nucleotides) under Salmonella enterica. Its description in RNAcentral is "partial 23S ribosomal RNA". It matches the Rfam family "Bacterial large subunit ribosomal RNA", at positions 1 to 621 of the family's 2925-position model. The record is from RNAcentral. Lineage: Bacteria; Pseudomonadati; Pseudomonadota; Gammaproteobacteria; Enterobacterales; Enterobacteriaceae.